RNAcentral lists this transfer RNA (70 nucleotides) under Dictyocaulus viviparus (bovine lungworm). RNAcentral describes it as "tRNA-Met". The record is from RNAcentral. Lineage: Eukaryota; Metazoa; Nematoda; Chromadorea; Rhabditida; Metastrongylidae.
AGCACCGUGGCGCAGUGGAAGCAUGCUGGGCCCAUAAACCAGAGGUCAGUGGAUCGAAACCACACUGCUA